This is a long non-coding RNA of Esox lucius (northern pike), 1316 nucleotides long. NCBI's taxonomy places the organism in Eukaryota, Metazoa, Chordata, Actinopteri, Esociformes, Esocidae. The record is from Ensembl.
UUGAGUGCUGUGAGUAGAUACAACCAUUAAUGUCAAACACUGUACUGUCUCUCUAUUUCAUUAUUUUCAGUUGUAUUAAAAAGUUGGGAAAAAAAUGUAAUAUGUGUUACGUAGGCUAUAUCACUGUCGACUGUGAUAGUUUUAACGACAAUGUCAAUAUAUCAUUUUGCUGGAACUGUAGCCUAAUUGUGGAAACAAAUAAUGUGUCAUUAAUUGUAUGUGGAAACAAAUUAUUUUGUGAAAACUGGAUGAUUUGCGAGUGCUAAUCAAUCAACCAUCACUAACGUUAGCUAUCAUAGUUAAGUUACCUGGAAAGGUAAUUAUCCACACAUUCACCCAGCAAACAGGCACGGCGCUCACGGGUGUAUUCAGCUAACGUCUUCACCAGAGGGUCUGCAAGUAGUUAGCUAAGUAAUGGACGAGCCACCACCAGUCAAGAAUGGAGUGUACGUAACUAUGGUUCUUGGUAACAAUCUCAAUACAACAGCUGGCAAUUUCUUUUACUUACUAGGUGUUUUGAAUCAUCUAGAUAUAGCUAAAUGUGUUCAGUAUUUUAAGAAUUUGGUUUAUGCUGAUUUACAUAUGAUCAUGGCAGGAAAGUGAUAGACAUGAACAAACAGGCAAGGAGGGAGAGAAAGUGGCCACAAACCAACAGAAGAGAGGCUGUCAUAAUAACACUGGUCAGAAAGGCAGGCAGACAGAGAGAGGCCACAAGCCAACAGAUUCCGUCUCUCACAGUUGAAGUGUACCUGUGAUAAAAAUUACAGACCUCUACAUGCUUUGUAAGUAGGAAAACCUGCAUAAUCGGCAGUGUAUCAAAUACUUGUUCUCCCCACUGUAUAUAGCUUCUUGUUUGCAUGCUAGAGAUUUUACUUGAAUUUGUGGAUGCAGCAACAUACUGUGUUCACAGACAAUGGUUUAUGGAAGUGUUCCUGAGCCCAUGCAGUGAUUUCCAAUACAGAAUGGUUUCUGUUUUUAAUGCAGUGCCCCCUGAGGGCCUGAAGAUCAAAGCCAUCCAAUAUUGGUUUUCGGCCUAGUCCCUUGCGCACGGAGAUUUCUCCGGAUUUUCUGAAUCUUUUAAUAAUAUUAUGUUUGUUAGAUGAUGCGAUCCAUUAACUCUGCAAUUUUACAUUUAGAAAUGUUAUUCUCAAAUUGUUGCACUGUUUGCCUGUACAGUCUUUCACAGACCAUCUGAGAUGGUUUUUAAUACCCAAUCAUGUUACUGACCUUUUGCAAAUUAACUUAAUUAGUUGUGAGAUGUUCCACCAGGUUUUUAUUUUUAGCAUUACGCAAAUUUUCGAGGUCUUUUGUUGCCC